GAGCCCGUAGGUGGGUUUGUAAGUCAGAUGUGAAAGCCUUCUGUUCAACGGAAGAAUUGCAUCUGAAACUACAAACCUUGAGUAUAGGAGGGGAGAAUGGAACUUCUGGUGGAGCGGUGAAAUGCGUAGAUAUCAGAAGGAACGCCGGCGGCGAAAGCGAUUCUCUGGCCUAUUACUGACACUCAGUGUGCGAAAGCUAGGGGAGCAAACGGGAUUAGAUACCCCGGUAGUCCUAGCCGUAAACGAUGGGCACUAAGUAGAGGGAAUUACCGAUGUUCUCUCUGCCGUAGCUAACGCAUUAAGUGCCCCGCCUGGGGAGUACGGCCGCAAGGCUAAAACUCAAAAGAAUUGACGGGGGCUCGCACAAGCGGUGGAGCAUGUGGCUUAAUUCGAUGCAACGCGAAAAACCUUACCGGGGCUUGACAUGGUAGAAGUAGGAACCCGAAAGGGUAACGAACGGUAUCCAGUCCGUAGCUAUCACAGGUGUUGCAUGGCUGUCGUCAGCUCGUGUCGUGAGACGUUGGGUUAAGUCCCCUAACGAGCGAAACCCUUGUUUUUAGUUACCAGCGGAUUGUGCCGGGUACUCUAGAAAGACUGCCGUCGUCAAGACGGAGGAAGGUGGGGAUGACGUCAAGUCAUCAUGGCCCUUAUGCCCCGGGCUGCACACGCGCUACAAUGGUCGGUACAAACGGAAGCGAAGCCGAGAGGUGAAGCGAAUCC
Molecule: ribosomal RNA, 720 nt
Filed under: uncultured Candidatus Scalindua sp.
Lineage: Bacteria; Pseudomonadati; Planctomycetota; Candidatus Brocadiia; Candidatus Brocadiales; Candidatus Scalinduaceae
Description: bacterial SSU rRNA
Rfam family: Bacterial small subunit ribosomal RNA
Source: RNAcentral